UUAGAGUUUGAUCCUGGCUCAGAUUGAACGCUGGCGGCAGGCCUAACACAUGCAAGUCGAGCGGAAACGACACUAACAAUCCUUCGGGUGCGUUAAUGGGCGUCGAGCGGCGGACGGGUGAGUAAUGCCUAGGAAAUUGCCUUGAUGUGGGGGAUAACCAUUGGAAACGAUGGCUAAUACCGCAUGAUGCCUACGGGCCAAAGAGGGGGACCUUCGGGCCUCUCGCGUCAAGAUAUGCCUAGGUGGGAUUAGCUAGUUGGUGAGGUAAUGGCUCACCAAGGCGACGAUCCCUAGCUGGUCUGAGAGGAUGAUCAGCCACACUGGAACUGAGACACGGUCCAGACUCCUACGGGAGGCAGCAGUGGGGAAUAUUGCACAAUGGGCGCAAGCCUGAUGCAGCCAUGCCGCGUGUAUGAAGAAGGCCUUCGGGUUGUAAAGUACUUUCAGUUGUGAGGAAGGGUGUGUAGUUAAUAGCUGCACAUCGAGACGUAGCAACAGAAGAGCACCGCA
Molecule: ribosomal RNA, 510 nt
Filed under: Vibrio tasmaniensis
Lineage: Bacteria; Pseudomonadati; Pseudomonadota; Gammaproteobacteria; Vibrionales; Vibrionaceae
Description: bacterial SSU rRNA
Rfam family: Bacterial small subunit ribosomal RNA
Source: RNAcentral